UUAUAAUGAGAACCAAUCCUAUAAUAGGAACUAAUUAGGGCCGUUAGAUCUUCCUUAGAUGCGGAUAGAUAGGCGGCUGAGAUUAAUCUAAACUUACUCCAUUCGUUUCCCAACCAUCGAGCGCACAUCCUCUCAUUUCUCUCUCCUCAAGCAUUUUCUCUCUCCUCCAUAGCAAUGAGUGCAUCUGAAUUCUCCAUUGAUGCGGCUUUUGAGCCUUCUCUACUCCAAUGAAGUAGCUUCUGAGGUGGAUCAAACCUAACUACUUGAAUUCAUUUUAAGAUUUAGAUACAUAUCCAGCUAGUAGCAAUAAUUCUCAUAAAAAAAAAUUGUUAUAUGUUGUUUUGCGCUUUCAUAUUAGUAAGUAAUGGAUUUUUUGAUAUUAUAUGCAAAAGGAUGUUCAUGGGAAGUGGUAUAGAGUAUUGAAGAGAAUUCGUCUCAAGUAAAUACUUGCCCAAUAGUAUAUAUACAGCAGUAAGAAAUCAGUGCAGCUGUUGAAGAUUCUACAUUUUUAGGUUUGACAAGAUCAUACUUGGCGUUUUUAGCCUUAUUAAGAUGCUUAAAAUCCUACAAUUGAGUUGUAUGAAAAGCACAUAGUAUAUGAUUUCUAGUUUGAACUUUACUGCAUGUGUAUAUAACCCAUAUGUUUUUUUGAUGUUUGUUUGAUAAAAUUCCCCAAUGAAUCAAA
This is a long non-coding RNA of Chenopodium quinoa (quinoa), 685 nucleotides long. RefSeq lists it as uncharacterized. Lineage: Eukaryota; Viridiplantae; Streptophyta; Magnoliopsida; Caryophyllales; Amaranthaceae. The transcript is spliced from 2 exons. The record is from RefSeq and is a predicted model, not a curated record.